Molecule: long non-coding RNA, 281 nt
Filed under: Elaeis guineensis (African oil palm)
Lineage: Eukaryota; Viridiplantae; Streptophyta; Magnoliopsida; Arecales; Arecaceae
Description: long non-coding RNA (EGUI_LNC025943)
Source: RNAcentral
GCUGGGAUAGCUAGAUAAACCACCCAGAUGGGUGUGCGAUAUGACUGUGUAUUUGAAGGAAAGCAAAAUAUCAUGGCCUUACAUUGGCUAAUAAAAGAGAUGCUAUAGGUGUUCAUUAGCUUGUACUAGUCUUCCUCCCAAUAGCUUAAGAUUUUGAGCUGAGUUUAUGGUAAAUGGUAUCAGAGCAGGGCUUCAUAUGUGUCACAAGCUUUAUUAGUUAUGUAGAGCUUUCAUUGGGAGAUGUCAAGGUUGAGUAGGAUUCGGGCCAUAGGUGGGCCUCC